This 498-nucleotide ribosomal RNA is filed under the name uncultured bacterium. RNAcentral's name for it is "partial 16S ribosomal RNA". It matches the Rfam family "Bacterial small subunit ribosomal RNA", at positions 28 to 507 of the family's 1533-position model. The record is from RNAcentral.
GACGAACGCUGGCGGCGUGCCUAAUACAUGCAAGUCGAGCGGACGAAUCGAAAGCUUGCUUUUGAUUCGUUAGCGGCGGACGGGUGAGUAACACGUGGGCAACCUGCCCUGUAGACGGGGAUAACACCGAGAAAUCGGUGCUAAUACCGGAUAACACGAAAUGUCGCAUGACGUUUCGUCGAAAGACGGCGCAAGCUGUCGCUACAGGAUGGGCCCGCGGCGCAUUAGCUAGUUGGUGAGGUAACGGCUCACCAAGGCGACGAUGCGUAGCCGACCUGAGAGGGUGAUCGGCCACACUGGGACUGAGACACGGCCCAGACUCCUACGGGAGGCAGCAGUAGGGAAUCUUCCGCAAUGGACGAAAGUCUGACGGAGCAACGCCGCGUGAGCGAAGAAGGCCUUCGGGUCGUAAAGCUCUGUUGUUAGGGAAGAACAAGUAACGCAGUAACUGGCGUUACCGUGACGGUACCUAACGAGAAAGCCACGGCUAACUACGUG